UGGGGAAUAUUGCACAAUGGGCGAAAGCCUGAUGCAGCAACGCCGCGUGAGGGACGACGGCCUUCGGGUUGUAAACCUCUUUUAGCAAGGAAGAAGCGAAAGUGACGGUACUUGCAGAAAAAGCGCCGGCUAACUACGUGCCAGCAGCCGCGGUAAUACNUAGGGCGCAAGCGUUAUCCGGAAUUAUUGGGCGUAAAGAGCUCGUAGGCGGUUUGUCGCGUCUGCUGUGAAAACCCGAGGCUCAACCUCGGGCCUGCAGUGGGUACGGGCAGACUAGAGUGCGUAGGGGAGAUUGGAACUCCUGGUGUAGCGGUGGAAUGCGCAGAUAUCAGGAAGAACACCGAUGGCGAAGGCAGAUCUCUGGGCCGUAACUGACGCUGAGGAGCGAAA
RNAcentral lists this ribosomal RNA (390 nucleotides) under uncultured bacterium. RNAcentral's name for it is "partial 16S ribosomal RNA". It matches the Rfam family "Bacterial small subunit ribosomal RNA", at positions 355 to 758 of the family's 1533-position model. The record is from RNAcentral.